This is a long non-coding RNA of Equus caballus (horse), 3277 nucleotides long. The record is from Ensembl. NCBI's taxonomy places the organism in Eukaryota, Metazoa, Chordata, Mammalia, Perissodactyla, Equidae.
UAAGGAAAUAGGAUUGUGAAUAAUAUUUAAUAGUCAUUGAAUGUUAAAAUUCUUUUAACAAAAUAUACAGCUAGCCAAAAAAUGUAUUCCAUUUUUCGUUCAUUCCCAUGGACACCAAUGUUGAUAGAGAUGUCAUCUUUUGAGUGGGUUUCUGCAAAAUCCUAUGGUCAUUAUUGUUAAGAACACCAUCAUCUCUUCCAAGACUACCUAAAAAAUCUGAGGACAAAACACAUAGUUGUAGAUGCAAGACUUCUUACCUAGAUACCUGCAGAAUCCCCUGGUCAAUACCAUGGUUAGGGCCACCAUCAUCUCCUAUCUGGAUACCUGCAAAAUCCCAUGGUAACUAACAUGGUUAAGGACACAUCACUCCUUACCUGGACAACCAAAUUAUCCCAAGGCCACUAGCACAGUAAGGGAGAGAUUAGCUCUUACCUGGAUACAUGCAAAAUUCAAAGGUCAGUACUGUAGAUACAGGCACAAUCAUCUUCUGCCUGCAUAUCAGCAAAGACCUCCAUGGUCACUAAUGCAAUCAGACAAAUACCAUCUCUUACCUGAACACUUAGAAUUGCCCAGGGUCAGUAUCACGGUAGGGGCACAGCAUCUCUUGCCUGGAUAACUGCAAAAUCCCAUGGUCAUUAGCUUGAUUAGAGACACCAUCAACUUUUACCUGGAUAUCUACAAAUAUCCAAAGAAAACACCUUAGUUAGAGACAUCUUCACAAGUGUGACAACAUAUCUGCAAAAUUCCCCUGAUCACUAAGGUGGUUAGUCAACACAACGUACAAGAAUACUUGCAAAUAAACAUGAUCUCCAUGUUGGCUUACAAACACUAUCAUUGCUUAUGUGGAUAUCUGCAAAAUCUCAUGAGCUCCAACUUUGGUACAAACAUCAUCAUCUUUUAAUUGGAUGCAAGCAAAAUUAACCUUUGAUACCAUACAAAGGUUCUCAAAAAUCCCUUAACUGGAAGCUACAAAAACCAAAGAGACAACAGCAUUUAAGAACAAAUCUACAACCUGGAUACCUGAAAAUCCUGUAAGCACUACAAACUUAAAGGGAAGCAUAAAAUCUACCCAGAUACUUGCAAAAAUCCAGCGUCAAGAACUUGGAUUGAGACAUCAUCUCCUUUUGGGUAGACAUCUGUAAAAAGACAAAACAAUAGUAUUUAGUUUGGGAUUUUGCUGGCAUCCAGUUAAGAGAUGAUAAGUGGUUAAGAAGACAACCACUUUGGUUAAGGCCCACCAUUGUCUCUUGAUUGGAUCCUAUAAAAAUUCAUGGUAAAAACUGUGAUGGGGGGCUGGCCCCGUGGCCGAGUGGUUAAGUUCGCGCGCUCCGCAGCAGGCGGCCCAGUGUUUCGUUGGUUCGAAUCCUGGGCGCGGACAUGGCACUGCUCACCAAACCACGCUGAGGCAGCGUCCCACGUGCCACAACUAGAAGGACCCACAACGAAGAGUGUACAACUAUGUACCAGGGGGCUUUGGGGAGAAAAAGGAAAAAAUUAAAAUCUUUAAAAAAAAAAAAAAAAAAAAAAAAAACUGUGAUAGGAAUACAUGUAUUACCUGAAAACCUGGCAAAAUCUCAUCAAAUUUACGGGGUCCAUCAACUCUACCUUGAAACUUGCAGAAGCUCAAGGCCAACACCCUAGUUAGAGAUACAAUCCCGUCUUGAAAUAAUUACAAAAAAGCCAUGGUCAAUAAGGAGGUGAUGGACAAAAUGAUAAUUUAUGUGGACAUCUACAUAAUCCCUCAGUUACUACUAAGGUUAUACAAACAUUAUAUUUAAAUUCUAAAAUAAUAUGGGCUAAUGCUUACUAGCAUUGCCUGGGACAAUAUCAUUUCUUACCUGAAUACCUGCAAGAAAAGACGGCAACACAAAUGUUAGAACACCAUCAUCACUUAGCUAGAUAUCUAAAGAUCAGAGGGUGGGUGGCAUGUCAAAAGCCCACAUCAGCACUUAUCUGGAUACAAACAAAAUCACUUUAAUGAACUUUAUGAGGUUUAGCAUGAUGUCUUAACAGUAACUUGCAAAAUACAUUGUAACAAAUGUGUCUAUGGACACAUCUUUAUUACCUGGACCCCGAAAAUAACCUUAUUCAUUACCAUCACCGCAGGACUCAUCCAAUCUACCCAGAAUCUUGCAGUACUCCAAGGUCUACACCAUGGUUAGAGACGCUAUCAUCACUUGAAUGCUCACCUUCAAGAAAACCAUGGUUACUACUGUGACUCACAGCUUCAUGACAAUUACAUGGAUAUCUGCAAAUCACUCAACAAUCACAUGGUUAAACAUGACUUUUUUCUAAAAUAUAAAACAGUAGGGUAACAUGGCUUCUGGAAUUGGUAAAACACUCAUUUCUUACCUGAAGACCUAUAAAAAAAUCACCUGGUAAACAAGAUUAGGCAAACAAACUUCCCUUCCCUAAGUAUGUGAAGCCUGGAUGAUCUGUGAUGUGGGGGAGGUGCACACCAUCACUUACCUGGAUACCUAUAACGUCUCCUGUCAACAACCACUGUCAGGGUUCACCACGAUCUCUGGACAUGAACCUGAAAAGCAUAAUAUAUGUGUAAAAGGACACAACUUGUUCUACCAAGACACCUGAAAAUAACCUUCAUCGCUAUCCUUAUUAUGAGAACAUCGAUUCUACUGACUACUUGGAGAACUCCAAGUCAGGACCACUAUCAGUUAAGAUAACAUUUCUCAACAGGACACCUGCAAAAUUUCCAUGGUCACCAUUGUGGCUGGGAACAUCAUGAUAAUUACCUGGAUAUGUGAAAUUACUCAAAACUCACAGGGAUAAACAAAAAUUUUUUCUAAAAUAUAAAAAUGAAAACUCACAGUCUAUAGAACUGGUCAGUAAGGGAUCAUUUCCUACCUGAACACUGGCAGAGAAAUCAUGGUAACAAGUGGUAGGGACACCACCAUCACUCACCUAGGUACCUGCAGAUGAGAAGACCUGUGCUGCGGUCUAGGCCCACGUCCUCACUUACCUGCACCCCAAGAAUCUCCUCCGCUAAGGACCGAUGCUAGGUUCGCCCGGAUGUCGUGCCAGGAACCUCAGAAACACAGUGGGGACGACGUCUCGGGUGCAAGCUUAUUCUCACGGGCAACCGCCAAUGCCCCUCGCUCAUUUCCAUCACUUCCGGACCCAUCAACGCUACCUGAAUACUUGCAACACUUCGAGGUCGGCCCCCAGGAAGGAAUGCCUGCCAACAUCCCGGGGUCAGUAACGCGCUGACGGGCAACACGAGAGAUUCCCUGGCUGUCUGCCCCUCCGUCUGUCGGUC